Molecule: long non-coding RNA, 653 nt
Filed under: Mus musculus (house mouse)
Lineage: Eukaryota; Metazoa; Chordata; Mammalia; Rodentia; Muridae
Description: predicted gene, 57749 (Gm57749)
Source: RNAcentral
AUUCCUUCCCGACGCUCUGUUCCUGGACAAUAACCUCCAGGUGCAAGAGCUGAAGCGAGUUGAGGAGGCUGAACUGAGAACAGGAUGCAAGAAGCCCUGUUGUCUCUACACCACAAGACGCAGAAUUUGUACAUUAUUUUUUCAUUUAAAGACUUGGAACCUUCCUAUAUUGCAGUUGAUGGAGGUGCUGAGGAGAGCUAAAUGUGCCUCCUUUAUUAGGCGCUAUUGUGAGACCUCCACCCCAGAGUGGGAAGAGAGACGACGCCUGCACAAAACCCGGCUUCGAAUCCAGUAACUUCGCGUUUCAGAACAAUCACCAAACAAAAACAAGUUUGAGAUACAAUAAGACCCUGCCUGGUCUAAUUGUCAAUCGGUCUUUUCUAACUUUUCCCUCCCUUCUCCUUUUGGAUGCUGUUUCCUCGUGCAGGAUCUAAACCAAGGGCUAUAUUUACAGACCAGCCCGCGAUUGCUGAAAAAUUAGCAUUUUAACGAUAUCAGUAGCUCUGGAAAGGAGAGAGAAGGGACUGUUGCCUGCCAUUUGGUAAUUGAAAUUUGAUGGGUAAACUAAUUAUGCCAUUAUUAUUAACAAAUAAAUUACUUAUUAAUUCCACCUAAUGUUGAUCUUUGAAGUAAAUACUGAUGCCUCACUCGUA